AUUUAGAUCGCAUUUAUUGGAUUAGAUACGAUUUAUUACGUGCAUUAUUAAUAAAAUUAAUUAUAUAUAUAAAAUUAAGGAAUAAUUGUCUGUAUACCUCUCAAAACUUCAGAAAUAUCUAAUUUGUCCCUACUUUUUUUUUUUCUUUUCAAUAUACCCCUCAUAUGUUCCUUCGUUAUUCCAAAAUACUCAUAUAGUUAUCACUCGUUAAGUUAACUUGAGUUAAACAUGAGUUAAAUAUUUACUAGAGUUAAAAAAAUCAAAAUACUUUUUUGCCCUUAACUUAAGAGCAAAUAAGAAAUAUUCGUAACCGUAGAGAGAUAUAUUUGAAAAGACCAAAAGUCAAAAUACUUUUUGUGUCCCUGACAAGGGCAAAUAAGAAAAGUCGAGAUGGUGGAAGGGUAUAUUUGAAAGGGUAAAAUAGUAAUUUUAUACAGAUAACAGCUAUUGCUAACCGUUUAUUAAUAAAAUUUAACUCUAGGGGUAUAUUUGAAAUAGGUUGGAAUAUAGAAAUGACAUUUUCAAUAAUUGCCUUCUAAAAGGGGUAAUCCGAAAAUCGUAAAUUUUUUAAGAGUAUAUAAGCAAUUGCCCCUAAAAUUAAUUAUAUAUGUAUAUAUAGAAGCGGAAGGU
This 630-nucleotide long non-coding RNA is filed under the name Ananas comosus (pineapple). RNAcentral describes it as "long non-coding RNA (ACOM_LNC022051)". The record is from RNAcentral. Lineage: Eukaryota; Viridiplantae; Streptophyta; Magnoliopsida; Poales; Bromeliaceae.